RNAcentral lists this ribosomal RNA (253 nucleotides) under uncultured bacterium. RNAcentral describes it as "partial 16S ribosomal RNA". It matches the Rfam family "Bacterial small subunit ribosomal RNA", at positions 524 to 776 of the family's 1533-position model. The record is from RNAcentral.
UACGAAGGGGGCUAGCGUUGCUCGGAAUCACUGGGCGUAAAGGGCGCGUAGGCGGGCUCUUAAGUCAGGGGUGAAAGCCCAAGGCUCAACCUUGGAAUUGCCUUUGAUACUGAGGGCCUUGAGACCGGAAGAGGUCGGCGGAACUGCGAGUGUAGAGGUGAAAUUCGUAGAUAUUCGCAAGAACACCAGUGGCGAAGGCGGCAUCCUGGACCGGCAUUGACGCUGAGGCGCGAAAGCUAGGGGAGCAAACGGG